RNAcentral lists this microRNA precursor (188 nucleotides) under Oryza brachyantha (malo sina). RNAcentral describes it as "MIR812 microRNA precursor family". It matches the Rfam family "MIR812 microRNA precursor family". The record is from Rfam by way of RNAcentral. Lineage: Eukaryota; Viridiplantae; Streptophyta; Magnoliopsida; Poales; Poaceae.
AAUAAACUAAUUUUUGAGUUUUUGGAUAGAACUUUUGACUCAUUGUCUUAUUUGAAAUUUUUUCAUGAUUAAUACUUUUAUUGUUAUUAUAUGAUAAAAUAUAAAUAGUACUUUAUGUGUGACUAAUUUUUAAUUAAUAAAUUUUACAAAUAAGACGAAUGAUCAAAUGCUUAACCUAGGAAACUCAG